ACAAGGUGGAAGUCUUGGGUCAUUUUCAUCGGACAUUUGUCGAUUGUUGCAACUUUGCGAGGAGGAUGAUGAUGCGUCUAGUCCAUUAGCUGCUCCUAAGCCCGAACCUAAUGAACAAAAUUUGCAGGUUGGAGAUACUAUGGCACUGCAAGAGGGAUAUAAUGUGAAUCAUGGACACCAAGAACCAAGCUUCCCUCUGGUUGAUCAAUGCAAGAACUCCCCUUCAGGAGUGCAUGGUAUGGCUAUGAAUAACUUGGAAGGACCUACACAAUUGGAGUGUCAUCAGUUUGAUUUACAUCAAGGCAUUGAGCACAACUUCUACUCUAUUCUUAAUGGUAGAGGAUUAUGUGGGGAGGGUGCAAUUCCUCAUGUUUCUAGCUACUGUCCCAGCAUUUGCCCUCCACCUGCUGCUUUUUUGGGUCCAAAAUGUGUGCUUUGGGAUUGCCCACGACCUGCCCAAGGGAUGGAUUGGUGUGAGGACUACUGUAGCAGCUUUCAUGCUGCCUUAGCAUUGAAUGAAGGCCCUCCUGGAAUGGGUCCAGUUUUAAGACCUGGUGGAAUUGGUCUGAAGGAUGGUUUGCUUUUUGCUGCUCUUAGUGCAAAGGCACAAGGGAAAGAUGUUGGUAUCCCUGAAUGUGAGGGAGCUGCCACGGCAAAAUCCCCAUGGAAUGCUCCUGAGCUUUUUGAUCUGUCAAUAUUGGAGGGUGAGAUGAUUAGGGAGUGGCUUUUCUUUGAUAAGCCUCGUAGAGCAUUUGAGAGUGGGAAUAGAAAGCAGAGGUCACUGCCUGAUUACAGUGGACGUGGUUGGCACGAGUCAAGAAAGCAAG
This 827-nucleotide unclassified non-coding RNA is filed under the name Hevea brasiliensis (rubber tree). Lineage: Eukaryota; Viridiplantae; Streptophyta; Magnoliopsida; Malpighiales; Euphorbiaceae. The record is from RNAcentral.